RNAcentral lists this ribosomal RNA (516 nucleotides) under Lactiplantibacillus plantarum. RNAcentral describes it as "bacterial SSU rRNA". It matches the Rfam family "Bacterial small subunit ribosomal RNA", at positions 86 to 592 of the family's 1533-position model. The record is from RNAcentral. Lineage: Bacteria; Bacillati; Bacillota; Bacilli; Lactobacillales; Lactobacillaceae.
UUUGAGUGAGUGGCGAAUGUGUGAGUACACGUGGGAAACCUGCCCAGAAGCGGGGGAUAACACCUGGAAACAGAUGCUAAUACCGCAUAACAACUUGGACCGCAUGGUCCGAGCUUGAAAGAUGGCUUCGGCUAUCACUUUUGGAUGGUCCCGCGGCGUAUUAGCUAGAUGGUGGGGUAACGGCUCACCAUGGCAAUGAUACGUAGCCGACCUGAGAGGGUAAUCGGCCACAUUGGGACUGAGACACGGCCCAAACUCCUACGGGAGGCAGCAGUAGGGAAUCUUCCACAAUGGACGAAAGUCUGAUGGAGCAACGCCGCGUGAGUGAAGAAGGGUUUCGGCUCGUAAAACUCUGUUGUUAAAGAAGAACAUAUCUGAGAGUAACUGUUCAGGUAUUGACGGUAUUUAACCAGAAAGCCACGGCUAACUACGUGCCAGCAUCCCGGUAAUACGUAGUGGCAAGCGUUGUCCGGAUUUAUUGGGCGUACAGCGAGCGCACGCGGUUUUUAAGUCUGA